GCUUGUAAAUUCAUAAAAUCUUCAAUCGCACUUUACAAUGAAACGACGUCGUCUUUAGAUUCUUCCUCCGCAGAAGAAACAGGGGAUUUUCGUCGAAUUCAAUCGGCCGAGCAAGUGGAAGAAUCGAGAAGCUCUUAAUCGCAAACAAAGGCGAAAUUGCGCGACGCCGAUGAGCGGAGCUUGCACGUCAAAUUGGGUCAGCUGCUUCCAGAACUGGCGAUCAGGUUGCUAUCCACCCUGAUUAUGGUUUCUUAUAAGAAAGCUCUGAGUUUGCUCGACUUGUUCAAGACGAGGAAUUACAUUUGUUGGACCUCCGGCAUCUGCAAUUCGUGACAUUGGUGAUAAAAAAGAGCCAUUUAGUUACAAUAUGCUAUCCACUCUGGAUAUGGUUUCUUAUCAGAAAGCUCUGAGUUUGCUCGACUUGUUCAAGGCGAGGGAAAUACAUUUGGUAGACUUCCUGCAUCUGCAAUUCAUGACAUGUGUGAUAAAAGUGAUUCACCUUAAUACAUUUCUGAGUACCUCUUGUGCUUGGGUGUCAUGGCUACGAACAAGAUAUUGAUCUGAUGAAGUUAGAAGCCGACAAGAUUGUAUAUCCUAUAUUGAUAAAGCCAACUCAUGGAGGUGGAGGAACGAUGAUGCUACUUUCUUAUUAUGAUCUCAUUUAUACUAUUAUUGUUGGUGUAAAUGUCAUAGAAGAAAUGCUAAUUCUGUUUUAAAAUUUUAAUCGUAUGAAUGCUUUUUUAAA
Molecule: long non-coding RNA, 745 nt
Organism: Salvia splendens (bonfire salvia)
Lineage: Eukaryota; Viridiplantae; Streptophyta; Magnoliopsida; Lamiales; Lamiaceae
Exons: 4
Source: RefSeq, a predicted model, not a curated record